Long non-coding RNA from Colletes gigas, 228 nucleotides. RefSeq lists it as uncharacterized. NCBI's taxonomy places the organism in Eukaryota, Metazoa, Arthropoda, Insecta, Hymenoptera, Colletidae. The transcript is spliced from 3 exons. The record is from RefSeq and is a predicted model, not a curated record.
AUUAAAUCUGUUUUUCUCUUAUUUAAAACAAAUGUCUUUCAAUAUUUAUCUUUUUGUAUUCCAUCUUUUCGUGCCCCGUCUUUCGCGCCAGAAGAAUUCAAUACUAAAUCGAAAUUUAAUUGAAAUUUGCGAAAAAAAUGUGGAGAAUGCAAUGCGUCUAGUACAUUUAUCUGUUAGGACCAAAUCUGUUUUUCUCUUAUUCAAAACAAACGUCUUUCAAUUUUUAUC